AGAGUUUGAUCCUGGCUCAGGACGAACGCUGGCGGCGUGCUUAACACAUGCAAGUGGAGCGACGAACCGGGGCUUGCCCCGGGGCAGAGCCGCGAACGGGUGAGUAACACGUGGGUAACCUGCCUUGAUGAUUGGGACAACCCGAGGAAACUCGGGCUAAUACCAAAUGUGCUGAUCCCCUCCAAGGGGGAUUAGGAAAG
RNAcentral lists this ribosomal RNA (200 nucleotides) under uncultured bacterium. RNAcentral describes it as "partial 16S ribosomal RNA". It matches the Rfam family "Bacterial small subunit ribosomal RNA", at positions 8 to 206 of the family's 1533-position model. The record is from RNAcentral.